This 506-nucleotide ribosomal RNA is filed under the name uncultured bacterium. RNAcentral's name for it is "partial 16S ribosomal RNA". It matches the Rfam family "Bacterial small subunit ribosomal RNA", at positions 29 to 523 of the family's 1533-position model. The record is from RNAcentral.
AGUGAACGCUGGCGGUAGGCCUAACACAUGCAAGUCGAACGGCAGCACAGGAGAGCUUGCUCUCUGGGUGGCGAGUGGCGGACGGGUGAGGAAUACAUCGGAAUCUACUCUGUCGUGGGGGAUAACGUAGGGAAACUUACGCUAAUACCGCAUACGACCUACGGGUGAAAGCAGGGGAUCUUCGGACCUUGCGCGGUUGAAUGAGCCGAUGUCGGAUUAGCUAGUUGGCGGGGUAAAGGCCCACCAAGGCGACGAUCCGUAGCUGGUCUGAGAGGAUGAUCAGCCACACUGGAACUGAGACACGGUCCAGACUCCUACGGGAGGCAGCAGUGGGGAAUAUUGGACAAUGGGCGCAAGCCUGAUCCAGCCAUACCGCGUGGGUGAAGAAGGCCUUCGGGUUGUAAAGCCCUUUUGUUGGGAAAGAAAUCCAGCUGGUUAAUACCCGGUUGGGAUGACGGUACCCAAAGAAUAAGCACCGGCUAACUUCGUGCCAGCCGCCGCGGUAA